This 495-nucleotide ribosomal RNA is filed under the name uncultured bacterium. RNAcentral's name for it is "partial 16S ribosomal RNA". It matches the Rfam family "Bacterial small subunit ribosomal RNA", at positions 29 to 507 of the family's 1533-position model. The record is from RNAcentral.
AUGAACGCUGGCGGCGUGCCUAAUACAUGCAAGUCGAGCGAACAGACGAGGAGCUUGCUCCUCUGACGUUAGCGGCGGACGGGUGAGUAACACGUGGAUAACCUACCUAUAAGACUGGGAUAACUUCGGGAAACCGGAGCUAAUACCGGAUAAUAUAUUGAACCGCAUGGUUCAAUAGUGAAAGACGGUUUUGCUGUCACUUAUAGAUGGAUCCGCGCCGCAUUAGCUAGUUGGUAAGGUAACGGCUUACCAAGGCAACGAUGCGUAGCCGACCUGAGAGGGUGAUCGGCCACACUGGAACUGAGACACGGUCCAGACUCCUACGGGAGGCAGCAGUAGGGAAUCUUCCGCAAUGGGCGAAAGCCUGACGGAGCAACGCCGCGUGAGUGAUGAAGGUCUUCGGAUCGUAAAACUCUGUAUUAGGGAAGAACAAAUGUGUAAGUAACUAUGCACGUCUUGACGGUACCUAAUCAGAAAGCCACGGCUAACUACGUG